Molecule: microRNA precursor, 84 nt
Filed under: Bombyx mori (domestic silkworm)
Lineage: Eukaryota; Metazoa; Arthropoda; Insecta; Lepidoptera; Bombycidae
Description: mir-2807 microRNA precursor family
Rfam family: mir-2807 microRNA precursor family
Source: Rfam by way of RNAcentral
UUAACUCAAAUUUGUAUGUAGCUGGAACAGCGCCCCUAGCGGCAUACGUAGGCAAACGUUCCAACUCCGUACAAAUUUGAGUUA